This 497-nucleotide ribosomal RNA is filed under the name uncultured bacterium. Its description in RNAcentral is "partial 16S ribosomal RNA". It matches the Rfam family "Bacterial small subunit ribosomal RNA", at positions 28 to 507 of the family's 1533-position model. The record is from RNAcentral.
GACGAACGCUGGCGGCGUGCCUAAUACAUGCAAGUCGAGCGAACAGACCAGGAGCUUGCUCCUCUCACGUUAGCGGCGGACGGGUGUGUAACACGUGUAUAACCUACCUAUAAGACUGGGAUAUCUUCGGGACACCGGAUCAAAUACCGUAGAAUAUAUUGAACCGCAGGGUGCAAUAGAGAAUUACGGCUUUUCUGUCACUAAUAGAUGGAUCCGCGCCGCAUUAGCUAGUUGGUAAGGUAACGGCUUAUCAAGGCGACGAUGCGUAGCCGACCUGUGAGAGUGAUCGGCGACACUGGAACUGAGCCGCCGUCCAGACUCCUGCGGGAGGCAGCAGUAGGGAAUCUUCCGCAGUGGGCGAAAGCCUGACGGAGCGGCGGGGCGUGAGUGAUGAAAGUCUUCGGAUCGUAAAACUCUGUUAUUAGGGAAGAACAAAUGUGUAAGUAACUGUGCACGUCUUGACGGUACCUAAUCAGAAAGCCACGGCUAACUACGUG